Molecule: non-coding RNA, 282 nt
Organism: Pelobates cultripes (western spadefoot toad)
Lineage: Eukaryota; Metazoa; Chordata; Amphibia; Anura; Pelobatidae
Source: the annotation of a GenBank genome assembly
GUGUCAGACAGUUUUCUAGCCACAUAUUAGGCCCUUUUACCAAAUGAGCAUGUUUUUAUUGGCCAAACAUACCAAUGCAUUGUUACUGAACAUGUGCAUUCCUUUGUGUCCAACAUCAAACCAUUUUUAAAUAGAUGUUUCCAGCAUGAUUUUAUGCCAGUUCAGAAAACAGGCUUUAUGUCAAGCUGCCUUCACAAACACAAGAGUGACACCAGUAUAAAAAAGGGCCAAAGAGCCCCGAGACCUCAAUCCUGUGUUGGGAUGAGCUAGAAAGUUAUGUAU